GACGAGGGAUACUAGCGUUGUUCGGAAUCAUUGGGCGUAAAGAGUAUGUAGGUUGCUUUGCAAGUCAGUUGUGAAAUCCCCGGGCUUAACCCGGGAAGUGCUUCUGAUACUGCUUAGCUUGAGUACUGUAGAGGUGACUGGAAUUCCUGGUGUAGCGGUGGAAUGCGCAGAUAUCAGGAGGAACACCGGUGGCGAAGGCGGGUCUCUGGGCCGUUACUGACGCUGAGGAGCGAAAGCGUGGGGAGCGAACAGG
RNAcentral lists this ribosomal RNA (253 nucleotides) under uncultured bacterium. Its description in RNAcentral is "partial 16S ribosomal RNA". It matches the Rfam family "Bacterial small subunit ribosomal RNA", at positions 524 to 776 of the family's 1533-position model. The record is from RNAcentral.